UACAGAGGUCUCAAGCGUUGUUCGGAAUUACUGGGCGUAAAGGGCGCGUAGGCGGCCUUCUAAGUCGAACGUGAAAUCCCCGGGCUCAACCCGGGAACUGCGUCCGAUACUGGAAGGCUUGAAUCCGGGAGAGGGAUGUGGAAUUCCAGGUGUAGCGGUGAAAUGCGUAGAUAUCUGGAGGAACACCGGUGGCGAAGGCGACAUCCUGGACCGGUAUUGACGCUGAGGCGCGAAAGCCAGGGGAGCAAACGGG
RNAcentral lists this ribosomal RNA (253 nucleotides) under uncultured bacterium. Its description in RNAcentral is "partial 16S ribosomal RNA". It matches the Rfam family "Bacterial small subunit ribosomal RNA", at positions 524 to 776 of the family's 1533-position model. The record is from RNAcentral.